UACGUAGGUGGCAAGCGUUGUCCGGAUUUACUGGGCGUAAAGCGCGCGCAGGCGGCCCUUUAAGUCCGUCGGUCAAAUGCCGGGGCUCAACCCCGAUGCAUGCCGAGGAUACUGGAGGGCUGGAGACACGUAGAGGCAAGCGGAAUUCCGGGUGUAGCGGUGGAAUGCGUAGAGAUCCGGAAGAACACCGGAGGCGAAGGCGGCUUGCUGGGCGUGAUCUGACGCUGAGGCGCGAAAGCGUGGGGAGCGAACAGG
RNAcentral lists this ribosomal RNA (255 nucleotides) under uncultured bacterium. RNAcentral describes it as "partial 16S ribosomal RNA". It matches the Rfam family "Bacterial small subunit ribosomal RNA", at positions 524 to 776 of the family's 1533-position model. The record is from RNAcentral.